This 2055-nucleotide long non-coding RNA is filed under the name Salmo trutta (river trout). RNAcentral describes it as "lncRNA (ENSSTUG00000040643.1)". The record is from RNAcentral. Lineage: Eukaryota; Metazoa; Chordata; Actinopteri; Salmoniformes; Salmonidae.
AUGAAAUUCAACACAAGAUAUGUUGAAGGUGCUGGACUGGGAAAUGGGAAGCAGAUGGAGAUGCUGUGGUCGUAUCUGAGGCACUUUGGGAAGGUCACUAGAUGACGCCGUCCCAUCGUAUUGACCUCCUGACUGAUGCCCUUCACCAUGAGAAAAGAUGUGCCAGAGGCAACGUUAGUACACUUGGAAUUGUCAUUUACUUGAUGCUGGUUGACUCUUGUGAUGUUCCUAACAUUUCCUGUUUUUUAUUUUAGUGGACGACAGUUGCAACAGAAGCAGAAUGGAAAAUGGCAGAAAUUGCAGUCUCUAACAGGUAAACCAUUGCAUCAAUUCUCUAAGAAUAGAAUUUCAGUAUUGAUUAGAAUUUGUCACAUCUGUCAAUUAUGUUUUAGGAACAACACUGGACACCAUUCGGGAUUGUGGCAGGAAUGUUAGUGUCACCCUUGAGAAGCAAAAACCUGCUCUGUGUUGGGAUAAGCAAUAUGUUGCAAUGCUCCAGCAACAUACAAUAGCAAUGUAUGUAAUUAUUUUUAAAAAUUUUUUGGCAUGCAUCUCUAAUCCAUUUUUUUUUUAUCUUCAGGGCCCAGCAGGAAAGUGGAGAUGGAAUAGCUGUUGCUCAGCUUAUGCAGAUCGAAAACUGAAGACGAUGGAGAGGAAGAACGGCAUCCUCCAUCGAUGGUCCCCCACCAGCAGUCUCUUCCAGACUGCACUCCACAGACUGCAGAGUAACAGAUUGAAGACCAAUUUGGAAGGAACAUUCAGUCUGGUGCUAGAACGGAGGUUACUCUGUGGCCUGAAGAGAAAAUAUGCAGGAAAUAUAUAUUCAACAAUAGGAACAAGUCAACUCAUAUCAGUUCUAUGAUAUUUCUGGGUGGGCAAACACAAUAAAUCAAAAAUGUGUUGCUGUUUUUGAACUUGUUUCUGAUGCUUAUGGUCUAUUGUUGGAUGGUAAUAAAGUGUAUAGCAGCUGUUGUCAUUUUUGAAUGUUUUUGUUUAGAUUGGAUUACCUUUAACAUAUUUUUUGUCUGUCUUAUCUGUUAUCAAUAGAUGGUCAAGGUAUUGCCAACCGCCUGUCCAAAAAGCUUGCCACGGUCGGUAGUAGCAUACUCUUUAUUUUUAUUUAUUUUUUUUAAAAGUUUUUUAAGGACUACAACCUGAGACCAAAUUUUUCCUCACAGCUCUCACAAGUCCUGGUGUAUGAGGAUGCAGUGCAGGUGGACAGCACUGUUUGGUCCUGGAGAGCAGGAAGAGCUGAGGAUGAUGGGGAGUUUCACUUCAAGCAAAGGCUCUCUGUGCUCCAUUCCCUCAGAACGGGCGUGUGAAGAUAACUGGUACAUUGAGGAUGAAGCCAUCACUGCCAAGAAGUUCUACUCACAUGAGCAGGAACUGAUCGUGGAGGCCUUACAACAUUACACAGAGCAAGAUGGAUUUAGUCUUGGGGCAAGAGCUGUCCUUGCUGGAAUGCUUGCUGAGCAUCAGCAUGCAGAAGGACAAAGUGAAUUGUUCAGAAGUGCUUUUUUGAGGGCAGCGGUAUAAACAUUGAAGUGGAGGACAUUGAGGAAGUGGAUGAGGAUGAUGACUAUGAUGGGGUUUACGACAACGAUGGUGAUAUUGAUGGAGGAAAAAAUGUAUGAGGCUGAAUGUGUCUAAUUGUUGUUUGUUUCUUGUCCAUUCUGUUUUAAUGUAUGUAAUUCAGUGGUGUACAGUAUUUAAGUAAAAAAGGGGGGUAAAAUAAUAAACAUACAACAAAAAUGUUUUGUUAUUUUUGGGUUAAAGGAAGCACUCUGGCCAUUUCUGUUUAAUUGUUAGAUGUGAUAUAUAGGCCAUUCUUUCAUGUAAUUUACCAUUUAUGUCAUGGUGAGGGGAACCUGACGUGAACCUGGUAUACCCCAACCUGAGUCUAAUGGAAUAGACAGGUUUGCUUCCUCCAAAGUAUUGUAUUUUCAUUGACCUGUUAGUUGUGGAGUUUGUAAACAUCAAUUUAGAUAAUUUUGUAAAUAUUGUAAUUCGAACAUCUAAAUCACCGUUGUCAUUUUUUAAAUAAAUAACUUCUGC